UAACGGCGUCGAGCGGCGGACGGGUGAGUAAUGCCUAGGAAAUUGCCCUGAUGUGGGGGAUAACCAUUGGAAACGAUGGCUAAUACCGCAUGAUGCCUACGGGCCAAAGAGGGGGACCUUCGGGCCUCUCGCGUCAGGAUAUGCCUAGGUGGGAUUAGCUAGUUGGUGAGGUAAGGGCUCACCAAGGCGACGAUCCCUAGCUGGUCUGAGAGGAUGAUCAGCCACACUGGAACUGAGACACGGUCCAGACUCCUACGGGAGGCAGCAGUGGGGAAUAUUGCACAAUGGGCGCAAGCCUGAUGCAGCCAUGCCGCGUGUGUGAAGAAGGCCUUCGGGUUGUAAAGCACUUUCAGUCGUGAGGAAGGUGGUGUAGUUAAUAGCUGCAUUAUUUGACGUUAGCGACAGAAGAAGCACCGGCUAACUCCGUGCCAGCAGCCGCGGUAAUACGGAGGGUGCGAGCGUUAAUCGGAAUUACUGGGCGUAAAGCGCAUGCAGGUGGUUUGUUAAGUCAGAUGUGAAAGCCCGGGGCUCAACCUCGGAAUAGCAUUUGAAACUGGCAGACUAGAGUACUGUAGAGGGGGGUAGAAUUUCAGGUGUAGCGGUGAAAUGCGUAGAGAUCUGAAGGAAUACCGGUGGCGAAGGCGGCCCCCUGGACAGAUACUGACACUCAGAUGCGAAAGCGUGGGGAGCAAACAGGAUUAGAUACCCUGGUAGUCCACGCCGUAAACGAUGUCUACUUGGAGGUUGUGGCCUUGAGCCGUGGCUUUCGGAGCUAACGCGUUAAGUAGACCGCCUGGGGAGUACGGUCGCAAGAUUAAAACUCAAAUGAAUUGACGGGGGCCCGCACAAGCGGUGGAGCAUGUGGUUUAAUUCGAUGCAACGCGAAGAACCUUACCUACUCUUGACAUCCAGAGAACUUUCCAGAGAUGGAUUGGUGCCUUCGGGAACUCUGAGACAGGUGCUGCAUGGCUGUCGUCAGCUCGUGUUGUGAAAUGUUGGGUUAAGUCCCGCAACGAGCGCAACCCUUAUCCUUGUUUGCCAGCGAGUAAUGUCGGGAACUCCAGGGAGACUGCCGGUGAUAAACCGGAGGAAGGUGGGGACGACGUCAAGUCAUCAUGGCCCUUACGAGUAGGGCUACACACGUGCUACAAUGGCGCAUACAGAGGGCGGCCAACUUGCGAAAGUGAGCGAAUCCCAAAAAGUGCGUCGUAGUCCGGAUUGGAGUCUGCAACUCGACUCCAUGAAGUCGGAAUCGCUAGUAAUCGUGGAUCAGAAUGCCACGGUGAAUACGUUCCCGGGCCUUGUACACACCGCCCGUCACACCAUGGGAGUGG
RNAcentral lists this ribosomal RNA (1334 nucleotides) under Vibrio neocaledonicus. RNAcentral's name for it is "bacterial SSU rRNA". It matches the Rfam family "Bacterial small subunit ribosomal RNA", at positions 83 to 1413 of the family's 1533-position model. The record is from RNAcentral. Lineage: Bacteria; Pseudomonadati; Pseudomonadota; Gammaproteobacteria; Vibrionales; Vibrionaceae.